Molecule: long non-coding RNA, 801 nt
Organism: Gopherus flavomarginatus (Mexican gopher tortoise)
Lineage: Eukaryota; Metazoa; Chordata; Testudines; Testudinidae
Exons: 3
Source: RefSeq, a predicted model, not a curated record
GAGAGAGCGGAAGCGGCCCUGGGGCAUGCUGGGAGAUGUAGUUCCUGACUCUCCCUGGACCGGAAGUGACGUUGGGCGGGAGAGAAAAAGACGAGUUGCAAACGCGCGCGAGCGGCUGCGGCUCUGCCUGUCUCGCGCGGGGCCGUUGGAGCCUCUCCCGGGGCCGGAGAAGGGUGUGUGACUGAGAUCAGGGCUCCUAUCGUACUGAGCGUGGCCGUGUUCUGCCAGGCACUGAAGAGGCCCCAGGUGAGAUCAGACCGCACUGUUAUCCAGGAGUCCAUGUCUCUGCUCCCUGUGGCUGUGGUGCCUUCCGUACCAAAGCAGCACGUCAGCAGAGCAGACGCACACCAUAGCUGUGCCUGGAACACGCCGCAUUCACUGCCAGACGGGCUGAGUGAUUUUUAAGGGACUGAUAUGCCUGGCUGGGAUGGAUUCACUUGGAUGACGGUCUGAGGCUCUCAUAGUUUGAGAUAUUCCUUUGUGCAUAGUCAGUUCUUUCCAUUUAUUGUUUUCCCCCUACCUAUGCCCGAUGCCACUCCCUUCUUUACUUGCUUUGGUUAUUUCAGUUCCAGCUUUUAAAUGGGAUCUAAGAUUUGCAAAGCUGAAUGAAAGAUAAAACAAACAGAACCAUUUGAAUGUUGGCCCAUAGGUGGUAGAACUGUGCCUAGUGAAGGUCGGCUGUAAUGACCGGGUUCCCUAUAGCAUUUUCUGGUGGGGCAGAUAAAGCAACGUCAAAGAGUCAAAUGUGCGUUUUAGGGCAAAAGGGCUAAAUGCAUGAGAAAUGAACUGACACUUAAUUUC